This 269-nucleotide long non-coding RNA is filed under the name Elaeis guineensis (African oil palm). RNAcentral describes it as "long non-coding RNA (EGUI_LNC055708)". Lineage: Eukaryota; Viridiplantae; Streptophyta; Magnoliopsida; Arecales; Arecaceae. The record is from RNAcentral.
UACAGGACAUCCACACAAAGUUCUAGAUCUGAGCGAUCUCUCUGAGAGUGCUAGCUCACACAGAGACCCUUGUUAGCUGAUUUGAUUUAUGCUCCUUCUUCGGAGCACACGGAUAGCUCCGGAGUCGAAGAUGGAUCUAGAAGGAUGUGGGAUCAGUGGAAGAAUCUAAGGGAGAACUCCUUCUCUCUUGUUUUCCUCUCAUCCAAAAAUCCUAGAUCAAAUUUAGGUCACUCACCCAAGAGGAGAAGAUAUCCCUCUAAUCACUCACG